This 362-nucleotide long non-coding RNA is filed under the name Brassica rapa (field mustard). RNAcentral's name for it is "long non-coding RNA (BRAP_LNC006702)". The record is from RNAcentral. Lineage: Eukaryota; Viridiplantae; Streptophyta; Magnoliopsida; Brassicales; Brassicaceae.
CAGCCGUUGGUUCCAGCUUAGUAUGUGAAGAAGCACUGGUUCAUACAUAAAGAUAGUAGAGUAGUCAUACUUAUGUAAAUAACAUUCUUUGCUUGAUCAAUAAAUUUGAUAUUUCAUCAAAAAAAAAAAAACAAUAUUUUUAUUAUAAAAGUUAAAAAGAUACAAAAAAUUACAAUUAAAUAUUAUUCAAGAAAAAAUAUUUAUAUAAAUAUAUUUUCUAAACUAUUUCUAAGAUAUGAGUGUUUUAAAAAAUUUAACACGAGAUGUUUAGAAUACGGGAUUAUGCUUAUGAGAGAGUGGCUCGGGAGUGGGCUAGGAGAUGGGUCUAAUGGGCUGCGAAUUGUUGAAUUUUUGUUUUUAAU